RNAcentral lists this transfer RNA (73 nucleotides) under Camelus bactrianus (Bactrian camel). It matches the Rfam family "tRNA". Rfam says of the family: Transfer RNA (tRNA) molecules are approximately 80 nucleotides in length. Their secondary structure includes four short double-helical elements and three loops (D, anti-codon, and T loops). Lineage: Eukaryota; Metazoa; Chordata; Mammalia; Artiodactyla; Camelidae. RNAcentral also lists the same sequence under 3 other names. The record is from Rfam by way of RNAcentral.
GGAGAUAUAGCUCAAUUGGUAGAAUGCAUGCUUAGCAUGCACAAGGUCCUGGGUUCAAUCCCCAGUACCUCUA